Molecule: ribosomal RNA, 253 nt
Filed under: uncultured bacterium
Lineage: Bacteria
Description: partial 16S ribosomal RNA
Rfam family: Bacterial small subunit ribosomal RNA
Source: RNAcentral
UACGGAGGGUGCGAGCGUUGUCCGGAUUUACUGGGCGUAAAGCGCACGUAGGCAGAUCGUUAAGUCGGGGGUGAAAUCCUGGAGCUCAACUCCAGAACUGCCUUCGAUACUGGCGAUCUUGAGUCCGGAAGAGGUGAGUGGAACUCCUAGUGUAGAGGUGGAAUUCGUAGAUAUUAGGAAGAACACCAGUGGCGAAGGCGGCUCACUGGUCCGGUACUGACGCUGAGGUGCGAAAGCGUGGGGAGCAAACAGG